GGAAGCUUAGCUCUUUGGUAAAGCACCUGCUUUUCAUGCAGAAGGUUGCAGGUUCAGUCCCUGGUGUCUCCA
Molecule: non-coding RNA, 72 nt
Organism: Podarcis lilfordi (Lilford's wall lizard)
Lineage: Eukaryota; Metazoa; Chordata; Lepidosauria; Squamata; Lacertidae
Source: the annotation of a GenBank genome assembly